GAUCCCUUAGCUCAACUGGUUAGAGCGUGGUGCUAAUAACGCCAAGGUCCGAGGUUCAAGCCCUCGAGGGAUCA
Molecule: transfer RNA, 74 nt
Filed under: Rhodospirillaceae bacterium
Lineage: Bacteria; Pseudomonadati; Pseudomonadota; Alphaproteobacteria; Rhodospirillales; Rhodospirillaceae
Description: tRNA-Ile
Rfam family: tRNA
About the family: Transfer RNA (tRNA) molecules are approximately 80 nucleotides in length. Their secondary structure includes four short double-helical elements and three loops (D, anti-codon, and T loops).
Source: RNAcentral